CGGAGUAUGACGCAGUUUGGCAGCGUGCCACCUCGGGAUGGUGGAAGCCGCAGGUUCAAAUCCUACUGCUCCGA
This 74-nucleotide transfer RNA is filed under the name Diselma archeri. Its description in RNAcentral is "tRNA-Pro". It matches the Rfam family "tRNA". From Rfam's summary of the family: Transfer RNA (tRNA) molecules are approximately 80 nucleotides in length. Their secondary structure includes four short double-helical elements and three loops (D, anti-codon, and T loops). Further hydrogen bonds mediate the characteristic L-shaped molecular structure. tRNAs have two regions of fundamental functional importance: the anti-codon, which is responsible for specific mRNA codon recognition, and the 3' end, to which the tRNAs corresponding amino acid is attached (by aminoacyl-tRNA synthetases). tRNAs cope with the degeneracy of the genetic code in two manners: having more than one tRNA (with a specific anti-codon) for a particular amino acid; and 'wobble' base-pairing, i.e. permitting non-standard base-pairing at the 3rd anti-codon position. The record is from RNAcentral. Lineage: Eukaryota; Viridiplantae; Streptophyta; Pinopsida; Cupressales; Cupressaceae.